CAAUAGCGUAUAUUAACGUUGUUGCAGUUAAAAAGCUCGUAGUUGGAUUUCUGGUGGGAGCGAUCGGUCUGGCGCUUAGCGCGAGUACUUGCAUCGUCUCCGGCCAUCCUUGGGGAGAGUCUGUCUGGCAUUAGGUUGUCGGGCAGAGGAUCCUCAUCGUUUACUGUGAAAAAAUUAGAGUGUUCAAAGCAGGCUUAUGCCGUUGAAUAUAUUAGCAUGGAAUAAUAAGAUAGGACUUUGGUACUAUUUUGUUGGUUUGCGCACCAAAGUAAUGAUUAAUAGGGACAGUUGGGGGUAUUCGUAUUCCGUUGUCAGAGGUGAAAUUCUUGGAUUUACGGAAGACGAACUACUGCGAAAGCAUUUACCAAGGAUGUUUNCAUUAA
This 383-nucleotide ribosomal RNA is filed under the name uncultured eukaryote. Its description in RNAcentral is "partial 18S ribosomal RNA". It matches the Rfam family "Eukaryotic small subunit ribosomal RNA", at positions 592 to 976 of the family's 1831-position model. The record is from RNAcentral.